RNAcentral lists this ribosomal RNA (465 nucleotides) under uncultured bacterium. RNAcentral describes it as "partial 16S ribosomal RNA". It matches the Rfam family "Bacterial small subunit ribosomal RNA", at positions 338 to 795 of the family's 1533-position model. The record is from RNAcentral.
CCUACGGGAGGCAGCAGUGGGGAAUAUUGCGCAAUGGGCGAAAGCCUGACGCAGCGACGCCGCGUGAGGGAUGAAGGUCUUCGGAUCGUAAACCUCUGUCAGCAGGGAAGAACGGUCACUGUGCUAAUCAGCAGUGAAUUGACGGUACCUGCAAAGGAAGCACCGGCUAACUCCGUGCCAGCAGCCGCGGUAAUACGGAGGGUGCGAGCGUUAAUCGGAAUUACUGGGCGUAAAGCGCUCGUAGGCGGUAUGUCAAGUCAAGGGUGAAAUCCCCGCGCUCAACGUGGGAACUGCCUUUGAAACUGGCAAACUGGAGUGUGCGAGAGGAUAGUGGAAUUCCAGGUGUAGGAGUGAAAGCCGUAGAUAUCUGGAGGAACAUCAGUGGCGAAGGCGACUAUCUGGCACAUAACUGACGCUGAGGAGCGAAAGCGUGGGUAGCAAACAGGAUUAGAUACCCCAGUAGUC